RNAcentral lists this ribosomal RNA (424 nucleotides) under uncultured bacterium. RNAcentral's name for it is "bacterial SSU rRNA". It matches the Rfam family "Bacterial small subunit ribosomal RNA", at positions 355 to 796 of the family's 1533-position model. The record is from RNAcentral.
UGGGGAAUCUUGCACAAUGGGCGAAAGCCUGAUGCAGCGACGCCGCGUGAACGAUGAAGCCCUUCGGGGUGUAAAGUUCUUUCGACGGGAACGAUAAUGACGGUACCCGGAGAAGAAGCUGCGGCUAACUACGUGCCAGCAGCCGCGGUAAUACGUAGGCAGCGAGCGUUGUUCGGAAUUACUGGGCGUAAAGCGUGCGUAGGCGGUGUCAUAAGUUUGGUGUGAAAUCUCCCGGCUUAACUGGGAGGGUGCGCCGAAGACUGUGAUGCUUGAGUGUGGGAGAGGUAAGCGGAAUUCCUGGUGUAGCGGUGAAAUGCGUAGAUAUCAGGAGGAACACCUGUGGUGUAGACGGCUUACUGGACCACGACUGACGCUGAGGCACGAAAGUGUGGGUAGCAAACAGGAUUAGAUACCCCCGUAGUCC